GGUCGAGAGUGCGAGGAAUACAAUACCGCAAGGGAAUAACUCCGCUGUUUACUGUACAGUUUUUGGCUCUCGACCGCCCUACC
Non-coding RNA from Avibacterium paragallinarum JF4211, 83 nucleotides. The record is from Rfam. NCBI's taxonomy places the organism in Bacteria, Pseudomonadati, Pseudomonadota, Gammaproteobacteria, Pasteurellales, Pasteurellaceae.